CGGCAACAGCUCAAAUUUGAAAUCUGGCCCUCUCAGGGUCCGAGUUGUAAUUUGGAGAGGAUGCUUCGGGUGUGGCCCCGGUCUAAGUUCCUUGGAACAGGACGUCACAGAGGGUGAGAAUCCCGUACGUGCCCGGUGGCCGCCCCCGUGUGAAGCUCCUUCGAC
RNAcentral lists this ribosomal RNA (165 nucleotides) under Oidiodendron maius. RNAcentral's name for it is "partial large subunit ribosomal RNA". It matches the Rfam family "Eukaryotic large subunit ribosomal RNA", at positions 99 to 261 of the family's 3401-position model. The record is from RNAcentral. Lineage: Eukaryota; Fungi; Ascomycota; Leotiomycetes; Myxotrichaceae.